GACGAACGCUGGCGGCGUGCCUAAUACAUGCAAGUAGAACGCACAGUUUAUACCGUAGCUUGCUACACCAUAGACUGUGAGUUGCGAACGGGUGAGUAACGCGUAGGUAACCUGCCUGGUAGCGGGGGAUAACUAUUGGAAACGAUAGCUAAUACCGCAUAAUAUUAAUUAUUGCAUGAUAAUUGAUUGAACGAUGCAACUGCAUCACUACCAGAUGGACCUGCGUUGUAUUAGCUAGUAGGUGAGGUAACGGCUCACCUAGGCGACGAUACAUAGCCGACCUGAGAGGGUGAUAGGCCACACUGGGACUGAGACACGGCCCAGACUCCUACGGGAGGAAGCAGUAGGGAAUCUUCGGCAAUGGACGAAAGUCUGACCGAGCAACGCCGCGUGAGUGAAGAAGGUUUUCGGAUCGUAAAGCUCUGUUGUAAGAGAAGAACGGGUGUGAGAGUGGAAAGUUCACACUGUGACGGUAUCUGACCAGAAAGGGACGGCUAACUACGUG
RNAcentral lists this ribosomal RNA (505 nucleotides) under uncultured bacterium. RNAcentral's name for it is "partial 16S ribosomal RNA". It matches the Rfam family "Bacterial small subunit ribosomal RNA", at positions 28 to 507 of the family's 1533-position model. The record is from RNAcentral.